RNAcentral lists this ribosomal RNA (500 nucleotides) under uncultured bacterium. RNAcentral describes it as "partial 16S ribosomal RNA". It matches the Rfam family "Bacterial small subunit ribosomal RNA", at positions 30 to 523 of the family's 1533-position model. The record is from RNAcentral.
AUUGAACGCUGGCGGCAUGCCUUACACAUGCAAGUCGAACGGCAGCACGGGAGCAAUCCUGGUGGCGAGUGGCGAACGGGUGAGUAAAGUAUCGGAACGUGCCCAGUCGUGGGGGAUAACGUAGCGAAAGUUACGCUAAUACCGCAUACGAUCUAUGGAUGAAAGCGGGGGAUCGCAAGACCCCGCGCGAUUGGAGCGGCCGAUAUCAGAUUAGGUAGUUGGUGGGGUAAAGGCUCACCAAGCCGACGAUCUGUAGCUGGUCUGAGAGGACGACCAGCCACACGGGGACUGAGACACGGCCCAGACUCCUACGGGAGGCAGCAGUGGGGAAUUUUGGACAAUGGGCGAAAGCCUGAUCCAGCCAUGCCGCGUGCAGGAUGAAGGCCUUCGGGUUGUAAACUGCUUUUGUACGGAACGAAAAGGUUUGGCCUAAUAAGCUGAGCUCAUGACGGUACCGUAAGAAUAAGCACCGGCUAACUACGUGCCAGCAGCCGCAGUAA